AAGUCGUAACAAGGUUUCCGUAGGUGAACCUGCGGAAGGAUCAUUAGAAUGAGAGCCGGACCAUGUCGUGGGCGAAAUGCUCGCCAGUCAGGUCCAGGCCAGUUAAAUGGCCAGGUCCCCAAGGCUAAAACCCCUUGUCCAAAUCCCCCAUUUGCUUCGUUGAUUUGUAAGUUUCAUUUCCUUCUGGUUUGGUUUUUUGGGGCCAAGGGUGCCCGGCGGACCCCAUCUGGGGGGAACGCGCUGGGCUUCGGGCCUGGAGAGUGCCUGCCAGAGGACCAAAGCUCUGUAACUUUGAAUGCCGUCUGAGUACUACGAAUCUAUCGUAAAGGUUGCAAAUUG
Molecule: unclassified non-coding RNA, 339 nt
Filed under: plant metagenome
Description: partial contains small subunit ribosomal RNA and internal transcribed spacer 1
Rfam family: Eukaryotic small subunit ribosomal RNA (bases 1-46)
Source: RNAcentral